This 433-nucleotide ribosomal RNA is filed under the name uncultured bacterium. RNAcentral's name for it is "partial 16S ribosomal RNA". It matches the Rfam family "Bacterial small subunit ribosomal RNA", at positions 29 to 507 of the family's 1533-position model. The record is from RNAcentral.
AACGAACGCUGGCGGCAUGCCUAACACAUGCAAGUCGAACGAGACCUUCGGGUCUAGUGGCGCACGGGUGCGUAACGCGUGGGAACCUGCCCUUAGGUUCGGAAUAACUCCCCGAAAGGGGUGCUAAUACCGGAUAAUGUCUUCGGACCAAAGAUUUAUCGCCUUUGGAUGGGCCCGCGUUGGAUUAGCUAGUUGGUAGGGUAAAAGCCUACCAAGGCGACGAUCCAUAGCUGGUCUGAGAGGAUGAUCAACCACACUGGGACUGAGACACGGCCCAGACUCCUACGGGAGGCAGCGGUGGGGAAUAUUGGACAAUGGGCGAAAGCCUGAUCCAGCAAUGCCGCGUGAGUGAUGAAGGCCUUAGGGUUGUAAAGCUCUUUUACCCGGGAUGAUAAUGACAGUACCGGGAGAAUAAGCUCCGGCUAACUCCGUG